GGAGGGGUGGCCGAGCGGUUGAAGGCGGCGGUUUGCUAAACCGUUAUACUGGUGAAAACCGGUAUCGAGGGUUCGAAUCCCUCCCCCUCCG
This 91-nucleotide transfer RNA is filed under the name Elusimicrobiota bacterium. RNAcentral's name for it is "Elusimicrobia bacterium (groundwater metagenome) tRNA-Ser". It matches the Rfam family "tRNA". Rfam says of the family: Transfer RNA (tRNA) molecules are approximately 80 nucleotides in length. Their secondary structure includes four short double-helical elements and three loops (D, anti-codon, and T loops). Further hydrogen bonds mediate the characteristic L-shaped molecular structure. tRNAs have two regions of fundamental functional importance: the anti-codon, which is responsible for specific mRNA codon recognition, and the 3' end, to which the tRNAs corresponding amino acid is attached (by aminoacyl-tRNA synthetases). tRNAs cope with the degeneracy of the genetic code in two manners: having more than one tRNA (with a specific anti-codon) for a particular amino acid; and 'wobble' base-pairing, i.e. permitting non-standard base-pairing at the 3rd anti-codon position. Lineage: Bacteria; Pseudomonadati; Elusimicrobiota. The record is from RNAcentral.